This is a long non-coding RNA of Dermochelys coriacea (leatherback sea turtle), 3262 nucleotides long. RefSeq lists it as uncharacterized. The transcript has 5 exons. The record is from RefSeq and is a predicted model, not a curated record. NCBI's taxonomy places the organism in Eukaryota, Metazoa, Chordata, Testudines, Dermochelyidae.
AGAUAAUGGCCAAUGGCUCUGCAAUCACAUUGGCCAAUUCCCUCAGCACCCUGGGAUGCAGCGCAUCCAGCCCCAUGGACUUGUGCAUGUCCAGCUUUUCUAAAUAGUCCUCAGCCUGUUCUUUCACCGCUGAGGGCUGCUCACUUCCUCCCCAUACUGUGUUGCCCAGGACAGCUGUGUGGGAGCUGACCUUUUCUGUGAAGACCAAGGCAAAAAAAAGUAUUGAGUACUUCAGUCGAAGGAUGCCAAAGGCUGAAAUUUCACCUCUUUAAUUUUAACUUGAUCGAACUGAGAGCUGGUGUGUCUAUGAUGGCAUUUUGGAAUUAACAAAGGAAAGGAAGUGGAAAUAUUCAAGCAUGGAUGAAGAGUUCUCCAAGUUUCUUGAAAAGUAAAAUAUACCAAGCAGUUUAUUGCUGCUAUACAACUCUCAUGGCAACACUGAAGACAAGGUCAACUAAUUGUAACCUAUAGGUGCCUGUCUCAUCUUUAGAGUCAUCACAUUUCAGUAGGGGCAUGUUGCAGCUUCCUGGCACCCUUGCAUCUGUCUCUGGUUAAGCAGCACUUCAUGCUCAGGUUCCAGGAUGUCCUUUUCUGCAAAGAAUUCAAACAUCAUUAUUUAUGUAAAAGUUUAAUUUGUGAAACAUGUACCCAUUUCAGUUUUCCAUCUUUGUCAGUACGGUAUACCAAUGGGCUAAGGCAGUCCAUUAUGGAGUAAGGGCCUGUCCAUUUUGAUUCCAGUGAGUGCCCCUUUUCCCCAUUUUAAGGUACAUGACUUGGUCUCCUGUUUCCCACAGGGCUGCCUUUGUGGGCCUUUGUUUCUGAAUUUUGUUGUUCAUGUGUUCGAUGGCCUGAUUAACCCUAUACUGGAGGAUGGUUUAAUCUUCUUGUAAAUGUUUGAGCCAUUGAAAAUAAUCAUGCUGGAUUAUAUUAGAGCUCUCUUCUUGACCCUGUACCAGGUAACUAGGAUCAAUCAUUAGUUGCAUUGGAUAUCCAAACAAAAUUUGGAAGGGUUGGAUUUUUGUUCUUAGUCUAGUACUGCUGUGGAUGGCAGCCAAAAUCAGAAGCAGUUUAUCUGGUCAGUCUUUUCCUGUGUGAUUUAGUACCUUCUGGGGCGCUUCCUUAAUAGUGCGGUUCAUGCGCUCUGCUUGGCCUGAGGACUGAGGCCAGUAUGGUAUACAGAGCUUUUGUUUAAUUCCCAAGACUUGUAUCAUUGUUGUAAAGAUUUCUCCUACAAAGGCUCCCCCGUUGUCAGAAUCUAUUAUUUAGGGGGUGCCAUAUCUACAUACUCCCUCAUUAAAAAAAAUUUUAGCCACUACCCUGGUGCUAUUAUCUUUAGUAGGAAAUGCCUCCACCCAUCCAGAAAAGGAAUCAAUUAUCAUCAAUAAAUACUGGAAUCCUUCCUUACUCCUUGGUAAUUUAUCAGUAAAAUCAAUUUGAACCCAAGCUUUCAUUGGCGCAGCCAGUGCCAGUGCAGAGGGCAAGCCUUGUCCUGAGCGCACCACAUCCAAUUUCGCACCCAUGUUUUAACAUCAUCUUCCAUACACUCCCGAACUGCUACUUGCUUUAGCCUUCUUGAAGUCCCUUCCACUCCUUCAUGCAUAAACUGAUGGGCUACAUUAAGUAACUCCUGUCUUUCUAUUUUCCUGGAACUCGGUUAGGGAGGUCUGUAGUGCCAUCUGUUGGCUCAUAUGUGUCAGCACAGACAUUUUUUUUCUGACUUCUGGUUACAACUGCUAUGUCAUGCUGUCGGACUAUUGUAUCUACUCGAUUAUUCCAGGUGGCCUCCAUACCCAUUCCUUUACUGUGUGCCCUCAAAAAAGGAGUACUUGUGGCACCUUGGAGACUAACAAAUUUAUUUGAAUAUUCGAUGAAGUGAGCCGUAGCUCAUGAAUUAAUAAUCCUUUUCUUUUCGUGGAUACAGACUAACACGGCUGCUAUUCUGUGUGCCCUUACAUGUUGCACCUUUAACUGUUUAGGGUUCUUUGUUACCCACUGGUUAAUCCAUUUCCAUCUGCUGUUUUCCACCCGUUCCUAUACCAAUCAUGUAUCCAAAACUGUAUCCCCUUCACACAAAAAUCACUUGCAGCAUAAAUAUACAUGUGCCUGGGGCGAAUAUUGAUAUUGCCUUAAUAAAUAAUUACCUGAUAAAUUGCGUGGAGCUCGGCAUGCUGAGCCGAUCCAUGGUCUAAAUGUCCCUGAAUGACUUCCUCUUCUAAGUUAAUGGUAGCAUAUUUUACACAUCUUUUUCCUUUUACUACCAUUGCACUCCCAUCAGUAAACCGGAUGUGCUUUUCUUGGCCCACAGUAUCUAAUUCUUCCAGUCGGGGUGCCUCUGCCAAGGCAAUUCUUUGCUCCAGAGUGACCUCUGGACACUGUCGAUUCCCUUUAUCAACUAGGGCAUGUGUUAGCAUGUCUGGCUUGGACACUGUUUCUGUGGUUACCCCUCUAUUAAUUAAAGUAAGCAUCCAUUGAGCCAUUUGGGUGUUUGAGACUUUACCUCCCAUCAAUCUCCCUGAUAAAAUGUACUUGAGAGGAGUAUGGCUGCUUUGGAUAGUAAUAGAGGCUGUUCUUGUAAGAGGCUCAAAAGAUUGUACUGCCCAGACAGCUGCUAGACACUAAUGUACACAGGGAUCAAAAUUUAUUUCUGCUCCUUGUAAUUUCCUGGAUUCAUCUGCUACUGGCCCUAGCUUUCCCUCUUCAUUGUUUUGUAACAGUAUGGCAGCCAAGGCCAUGUUAUUAGCUGCCAAACAAAUAACAAAAAUUCAUCAGGGAAACACAGGGCUGUGGCUGUGAGAGCCUUCUGUUUUAGCGGGGUUAAAGCGGAGUCCUGCUCUUUUCCCUAUUCCCAUUUUGUCUUUUUCUUUAGCAGUUUCCACAAAAGUGAGUUAUUUUGCAUAUUUAUAAAUGUGUGGUCUAAGAAAAUUGAAUCCUCCUAGCCGUACUCUUAAGGAGUAGGCAUUGAUAGGCGCCAGCAUUUCUACUAGUGCCCUUACCUUCCUCUGAUCUACCUGUCUCCCUUCUUGUCCCGUUUUUCCUUUAUGUCACAUCCUUAGGUCUCAUUUUUGGACAGGUACAUAUUUGGUGCUGUCAGACAUUUUGAAAAAAAAAAGUUUUAAAAUGUUUUUGAUUUAAUUUAUCCUUAUCGGAAGCAUUAGAACUAAAUGAAUAAAUGUAGCUUUCAUGCCUUUUCCUCAUUUUUUUUACAGAAAUUAUGCUUGUUACACUUUUUAGUGCAAUUCUAAAUAAAGUCUAAUAAACAGGU